Molecule: ribosomal RNA, 1236 nt
Filed under: metagenome
Description: bacterial LSU rRNA
Rfam family: Bacterial large subunit ribosomal RNA
Source: RNAcentral
UGAAUACGAGACGCUAAGGCGUCGAAGUAGUGUAUGUCAUACUUCCAAGAAAAGCUUGCACUGUCAUAGAUAAAAAACGCCUGUACCAUAACCGACACAGGUGGGUAGGUAGAGUAUACUAAGGGGCGCGAGAUAACUCUCUCUAAGGAACUCGGCAAAAUAACUCCGUAACUUCGGGAGAAGGAGUGCCUUAUUAUUAAGGCUGCAAUAACAAGAUCCAAGCAACUGUUUAUCAAAAACACAGGUCUCCGCUAAGUCGUAAGACGAUGUAUGGGGGCUGACGCCUGCCCAGUGCCAGAAGGUUAAAGAAGUUGGUUAGCAUUUGCGAAGCUGAUAACUGAAGCCCUGGUGAACGGCGGCCGUAACAAUAACGGUCCUAAGGUAGCGAAAUUCCUUGUCGGGUAAGUUCCGACCCGCACGAAAGGCGUAAUGAUUUGGAUACUGUCUCGGAGAGGGGCUCGGUGAAAUAGACUUGUCUGUGAAGAUGCGGACUACCUGCACCAGGACAGAAAGACCCUAUGAAGCUUUACUGUAACUUGAAAUUGAAAUUGGACUUUAUUCGCGCAGCAUAGGUGGGAGGCGUUGAUUAUAAUCUUGUGGGAUUAUUGGAGCCAUCAGUGAGAUACCACUCUUGUAAUGUUAGAUUUCUAACUUUGAAUCAUUAUCUGGUCAAAGAACAGUUUCAGGCGGGCAGUUUGACUGGGGCGGUCGCCUCCUAAACGGUAACGGAGGCGUACAAAGGUUUCCUCUGAACGGUUAGAAAUCGUAUCUAGAGUGUAAAGGCAUAAGGAAGCUUGACUGUGAGACCUACAAGUCGAGCAGGGACGAAAGUCGGUCUUAGUGAUCUGACGGUACUGAGUGGAAAGGCCGUCACUCAACGGAUAAAAGUUACUCUAGGAUAACAGGCUGAUCUCCCCCAAGAGUUCACAUCGACGGGGAGGUUUGGCACCUCGAUGUCGGCUCAUCGCAUCCUGGGGCGGUAGUACGUCCCAAGGGUUGGGCUGUUCGCCCAUGAAAGCGGUACGCGAGCUGGGUUCAGAACGUCGUGAGACAGUUCGGUCCAUAUCCGGUGUAGGCGUUAGAAUAUUGAGAGGAGCCUUCUUUAGUACGAGAGGACCGAGAAGGACAUACCUCUGGUGUACCAGUUAUCGUGCCAACGGUGAACGCUGGGUAGCUAUGUAUGGAGUGGAUAACCGCUGAAAGCAUCUAAGUGGGAAGCCCACCUCAAGAUAAGUA